CGGGUCAAAAGAGUGUUGGGGAGAAAAACAAGUGGACAGUAACUGCUCGUACCUUGACGGGACCUAACCAAAAAGCCACGGCUAACUACGUGCCAGCAGCCGCGGUAAUACGUAGGUGGCAAGCGUUAUCCGGAAUUAUUGGGCGUAAAGGGCGCGGAGGCGGUUUCUUAAUUAUGAGGUGAAAGCCCACGGCUCAACCGAGGAGGGUGUUGGAAACUGAACCACUUGAGUGCUGAAUACAAAAUAGGACUUUCGCAUGCCGCGUUUAAAUGCUUAUAUAUGUUAAGUCCUGCACCUGUACCGGCCGUUCUUAUGUGUUUA
Molecule: ribosomal RNA, 321 nt
Filed under: Priestia megaterium
Lineage: Bacteria; Bacillati; Bacillota; Bacilli; Caryophanales; Bacillaceae
Description: bacterial SSU rRNA
Rfam family: Bacterial small subunit ribosomal RNA
Source: RNAcentral